Poecilia reticulata (guppy) is the source of this 298-nucleotide non-coding RNA. The record is from RefSeq and is a predicted model, not a curated record. NCBI's taxonomy places the organism in Eukaryota, Metazoa, Chordata, Actinopteri, Cyprinodontiformes, Poeciliidae.
GCUGAGGAGAGGUGUGUGUGAGGAAGUUGAAGCCCAGGAGUUGCUGGAGUAAAAAUGUUCUUGUUUUGAACAGUUCGCGCCAAGCUGCGCUGAGGAGAGGUGUGUCUGAGGAAGUUGAAGCCCAGGAGCUGCUGGAGUAAAAAUGUUCUUGUUUUGAACAGGAAUAAAAUUAUCCUGAUUCCAGUGAUUCUGACUUCCUGUUUUCAAUCGCUACAAGUGCAUCCCAGUUUUCAAUGUCUGGCAUACAACCAUUAAUUUUUUGCUUUUAAACUGGUUAUAUUGAUCUUGGGUCCAGACA